This 231-nucleotide long non-coding RNA is filed under the name Mus musculus (house mouse). Its description in RNAcentral is "predicted gene 11376". Lineage: Eukaryota; Metazoa; Chordata; Mammalia; Rodentia; Muridae. The record is from RNAcentral.
AUUUGUACCCACUGACUCAGCAGUAGCAGAAGGAACUGUUUCAGGUCAGGACAGAGUCAAUAGUGUCUUCAUCUCUCCUCUUCCUGCUCCCCAGCUAAGCUUCUUCCCCUGUUCUCCUUCCCGCCACCAGAACUGGUGUGGAUGAGGACCAAGAUGGAGGGUCGCAGCAUGUCACUGAUGUGAACUCACCCAAGGCUGUCAGCUUCUGGUAUCUGGCUCUGCCCUGCUUGC